AUGCCGCCGGUCGAUCGUCUGCUAGCUUCGCCUCCCCCCUCUCAAUUGAGACCGCCGUCGCCGUGUAAUCAACCAGCAGCCAACACACAUUGCCAUCGCCGGCCGGUGUGUUCAGCUUGCUCCCAGUCCCAGUACAAGUACAGUACGUUCAAAGCCAUGGCGGACGGCGACCAGAACCAGCAGCCGCCGCGCUACUGGUUCCCCUACUGGAGCCCGGUGCGCCCGCAGCUGUCGCGCCGCCUCUCCCCGCCCUCCUCGCCCGCAGUGCCGUCCUCGCCGCGCCGCCCGUCGCCCUCCCACCCACGCCAACCCACUCCUCCUCGUGCGGCCCACAGCCAGGCGUCCUCCCGCCCGUCCCCGUCCCCGUCCCCGUCCCCGUCCCGGGCCUCGCCGCUCGCGCCCAUCCGAGACCGAGAGCCGCCCAACACCAACUCCAACGCCGGUGCUACUGCCAGGCCGCCUCCUAAGCCGGUCGCUCUACCCGCGACGCCCAAGCCCAAGGACGUCGACGUCGUCCCGCAGACGGAGAAAGCCGCCGUGCACCCGACUCCUGCUGCGGCUGAGACCAAGCACGGCAAGGCCGCCCAACACCACCACAAGGAGAAGGAGGCUGACAAGGACAAGAAGCACCACGCCGGCGAGGACGGCAAGCACAAGGACAAGGAGAAGAAGCACCACGCCGACGCCGGCGAGGAGAGCAAGCACAAGGAGAAGAAGCACCAUGCGGACGCCGGCGACGAGGGCAAGCACAAGGGGAAGGAGAAGGAGGCCAAGGCGGAGCACGGGAAGCUGCACGGCGAGCUCAAGGCCGACAUGGUGCGCAGGGCCACCGGCUCCGGGCACGGGCAGGGGGCGAGCGUGAUCACGCUGGCCGGGGAGAACAAGGGCGCGUCCAUGAAGGUGGGCGGCAAGGGCAAGGACGGCUCGUGGAAGGAGCACCACGGCGGCCACCGGCUGGACGGGAAGCCGGUGGCCGGGCAGAAGAAGCAGGGGAUGAUGACGGCGCUGAUCAACAGCAACGUGCAGGUGAUCAACAACUCGCUGCUGCUGCACAGCUCAUGCAACGGCGGCGACCCCGGCGUGCACCUCAACCUCUCCGCCAAGUCCGCCAACAAAGACAAGCAGAAGCAUGCCGCUGCAAAGAAAUGA
This 1149-nucleotide ribosomal RNA is filed under the name Triticum aestivum (bread wheat). RNAcentral describes it as "partial small subunit ribosomal RNA". The record is from RNAcentral. Lineage: Eukaryota; Viridiplantae; Streptophyta; Magnoliopsida; Poales; Poaceae.